This 696-nucleotide ribosomal RNA is filed under the name Draconibacterium sp. RNAcentral's name for it is "bacterial SSU rRNA". It matches the Rfam family "Bacterial small subunit ribosomal RNA", at positions 28 to 723 of the family's 1533-position model. Lineage: Bacteria; Pseudomonadati; Bacteroidota; Bacteroidia; Marinilabiliales; Prolixibacteraceae. The record is from RNAcentral.
GAUGAACGCUAGCGGGAGGCUUAACACAUGCAAGUCGAGGGGCAGCACGUCUUCGGAUGGUGGCGACCGGCGCACGGGUGCGUAACGCGUAUGCAACCUGCCUUAUACAGGGGGAUAGCCCAUGGAAACGUGGAUUAACACCCCAUAGUACUACUAAUCCGCAUGGAUUAAUAGUUAAAACUUCGGUGGUAUAAGAUGGGCAUGCGUAAGAUUAGGUAGUUGGUGAGGUAACAGCUCACCAAGCCGACGAUCUUUAGGGGUUCUGAGAGGAUUAUCCCCCACACUGGUACUGAGACACGGACCAGACUCCUACGGGAGGCAGCAGUGAGGAAUAUUGGUCAAUGGGCGCAAGCCUGAACCAGCCAUCCCGCGUGCAGGAUGACGGCCCUAUGGGUUGUAAACUGCUUUUGUUUGCCAAGAAUGGUUACUACGUGUAGUAAUUUGACGGUAGCAAAUGAAUAAGGACCGGCUAACUCCGUGCCAGCAGCCGCGGUAAUACGGAGGGUCCAAGCGUUAUCCGGAUUCAUUGGGUUUAAAGGGUGCGCAGGCGGGCUUGUAAGUCAGUGGUGAAAUUCUGCAGCUUAACUGUAGAACUGCCAUUGAUACUGCAAGUCUUGAAUAUGGUUGAGGUAGGCGGAAUGUGUUGUGUAGCGGUGAAAUGCAUAGAUAUGACACAGAACGCCGAUUGCGAAGGCA